Molecule: small nuclear RNA, 198 nt
Organism: Schistocerca americana (American grasshopper)
Lineage: Eukaryota; Metazoa; Arthropoda; Insecta; Orthoptera; Acrididae
Product: U2 spliceosomal RNA
Exons: 1
Source: RefSeq, a predicted model, not a curated record
GACACUUCAAAAUACUAAAUAAUGACUAAGAUCAAAGUUUAGGAUCUGUUCUACUCAGCUGAAUACCUGAUAUGUCCUGCAUUGCAGGACCAGAAUAUUAAACUCAUUCUUGGCUCAUGAUGGAGUGCUAAGGGCUUGCUCCAGCUCUAUUGCAGAUUGCCUCAGCUUUGCAGUACUGCUGGGAUUGGCCCACCUAAA